GUGGGGAAUAUUGGACAAUGGGCGCAAGCCUGAUCCAGCCAUGCCGCGUGAGUGAUGAAGGCCUUAGGGUUGUAAAGCUCUUUCGUCAGGGAAGAUAAUGACGGUACCUGAAGAAGAAGCCCCGGCUAACUUCGUGCCAGCAGCCGCGGUAAUACGAAGGGGGCUAGCGUUGCUCGGAAUCACUGGGCGUAAAGCGCACGUAGGCGGCUUUCUAAGUCAGGGGUGAAAUCCUGGAGCUCAACUCCAGAACUGCCUUUGAUACUGGAGAGCUUGAGUUCGUGAGAGUUGAGUGGAACUGCGAGUGUAGAGGUGAAAUUCGUAGAUAUUCGCAAGAACACCAGUGGCGAAGGCGGCUCACUGGCCCGAUACUGACGCUGAGGCGCGAAAGCCAGGGGAGCGAACGGGAUUAGAAACCCGGGUAGUCC
RNAcentral lists this ribosomal RNA (425 nucleotides) under uncultured bacterium. Its description in RNAcentral is "partial 16S ribosomal RNA". It matches the Rfam family "Bacterial small subunit ribosomal RNA", at positions 354 to 796 of the family's 1533-position model. The record is from RNAcentral.